CUCCGGGUUGAUCCCGCCGGACCCGACUGCUAUCAGAGUGGGACUAAGCCAUGCGAGUCAACAUAGCAAUAUGUGGCAUACGGCUCAGUAACACGUAGUCAACAUGCCCAGGGGACGUGGAUAACCUCGGGAAACUGAGGAUAAACCGCGAUAAGUCACUACUUCUGGAAUGGGUAAUGACUCAAAUCUACAUGGCCCCUGGAUUGGACUGCGGCCGAUCAGGCUGUUGGUGAGGUAAUGGCCCACCAAACCUGUAACCGGUACGGGCUCUGAGAGGAGGAGCCUGGAGAUGGGCACUGAGACAAGGGCCCAGGCCCUAUGGGGCGCAGCAGGCGCGAAACCUCUGCAAUAGGCGAAAGCUUGACAGGGUUACUCUGAGUGAUUUCCGUUAAGGAGAUCUUUUGGCACCUCUAAAAAUGGUGCAGAAUAAGGGGUGGGCAAGUCUGGUGUCAGCCGCCGCGGUAAUACCAGCACCCCGAGUGGUCGGGACGUUUAUUGGGCCUAAAGCAUCCGUAGCCGGUUCUACAAGUCUUCCGUUAAAUCCACCUGCUUAACAGAUGGGCUGCGGAAGAUACUAUAGAGCUAGGAGGCGGGAGAGGCAAGCGGUACUCGAUGGGUAGGGGUAAAAUCCGUUGAUCCAUUGAAGACCACCAGUGGCGAAGGCGGCCCGCCAGAACGCGCUCGACGGUGAGGGAUGAAAGCUGGGGGAGCGAACCGGAUUAGAUACCCGGGUAGUCCCAGCCGUAAACGAUGCGAGCUAGAUGAUCCAGUCGCAAAUCGCGAUUGGAGUGUCGCAGGGAAGCCGUUAAGCUCGCCGCCUGGGGAGUACGGUCGCAAGACUGAAACUUAAAGGAAUUGGCGGGGGAGCA
RNAcentral lists this ribosomal RNA (869 nucleotides) under uncultured archaeon. RNAcentral describes it as "bacterial SSU rRNA". It matches the Rfam family "Archaeal small subunit ribosomal RNA", at positions 1 to 878 of the family's 1478-position model. The record is from RNAcentral.